UCAACGGAAGCAGCUCAGUUUCUCAGAAAGAUCAUUGACCAAGCCCCGGAGAUUCGAAUUCUAGUUGUGGCUCUACUCCUAGUUGGCUCUGUGACUUUGGCCUGCUCUUUGUUCCUUGUCCUACCCUGACCACUUGGAUAAGAACCUGUGCACUUCCAAGGAAUACAAGCCCUUCCCCAGCCCAAAGUGCACAGAGGUGCACUGUCAAUGAUCAGCCAGCUCGGUCUCCUCACUGGCAUGAUCUGUGCUGACUGAUGAUUGCUAAAUUCAUAAUAUGAAAGAAGAAUUGUUUUAAAAGGAGCCCCAGGCACCAUCUAGAUUCUAGGAAGAGAGUUGCUCCUUUCUCUGACAGGUAAUGCUUAUCUGUAAGCCCAAGGAACUUGAGGAAGGGGAUGGAGAGUACCAAGGGGGAUGCUGAUGAGGGUUAGAAAAAUAGGAGGAACAGAGCACUCUAGGAUACUCACACCACUAUUCUUCAGAUGGUGUCUACACAAUACCACGAGAAGCCAAAAAGUGAUUUAUUUCAUCAGUGAGAACAAACAUCCUGGUCCAGUGAAUAAAUGAUUACAGAUCUCUUUCCGGAAGUUUUGAAAUAUUAUAGGACCUGAUGUGAUCACCACUAUAUCAUCUGCAAAAAGGAGCUUUUGGAGGACCUCACCAUACACUUGGACUCUGUGCUGGAUCUUUCCUAUCACAGUGGCAAAUAAAAAAACCCAGAAAAACUUACAUGAACUGAUGCAAA
Non-coding RNA from Phascolarctos cinereus (koala), 742 nucleotides. NCBI's taxonomy places the organism in Eukaryota, Metazoa, Chordata, Mammalia, Diprotodontia, Phascolarctidae. The record is from RefSeq and is a predicted model, not a curated record.